UUCCCAGCUGCCACCGCGGUGGUGGGGCUUCCGCCCGCCAACCUGGAAGGGGUUGGGCUUCCGCCUGUUCCCAGCUCCCUCCCGCCGGCUCCAGCCCCCGCCAGGCCUCCCCCACUGCAGCUGACACCAUGGCCACCGCCUCCAGCUGGGUCUCCGCUGCCAUUACAUGGAUUAAGAACACGAAAAUGCUGCAAAUUAUUGUUUUUUGAGAAAAUCGCCCACCUAGUCUGAGGAUUAAUGAAUAAAGAAAAUGUGGUACUUAUACACGAUGGAAUACUAUUUGGCCAUAAAAAAGAAUGAGAUCCUGUCAUUUGCAACAACAUGGAUGGAACUGAAGGUCAUUGCAUAAAGUGUAAUAAGCCAGGCUUAAUGUUUCUAAAGCCUCAUGCGGUGCUACUGUAUUAAAAAGUCAAGCUAAUAAUGUUGUCACUAGGGAGGACAGUGAAUAUGAAUUUG
Callithrix jacchus (white-tufted-ear marmoset) is the source of this 456-nucleotide long non-coding RNA. RefSeq lists it as uncharacterized. The record is from RefSeq and is a predicted model, not a curated record. Lineage: Eukaryota; Metazoa; Chordata; Mammalia; Primates; Cebidae.